Molecule: ribosomal RNA, 55 nt
Filed under: Russula nigricans
Lineage: Eukaryota; Fungi; Basidiomycota; Agaricomycetes; Russulales; Russulaceae
Description: partial 25S ribosomal RNA
Source: RNAcentral
ACCUCAAAUCGGGUGAGACUACCCGCUGAACUUAAGCAUAUCGAUAANCGGAGGA